UACGGAGGGUGCGAGCGUUAAUCGGAAUAACUGGGCGUAAAGGGCACGCAGGCGGGCUUUUAAGUGAGAUGUGAAAUCCCCGGGCUUAACCUGGGAAUAGCAUUUCAGACUGGGAGUCUAGAGUACUUUAGGGAGGGGUAGAAUUCCACGUGUAGCGGUGAAAUGCGUAGAGAUGUGGAAGAAUACCGAAGGCGAAGGCAGCCCCCUGGGCAAUGACUGACGCUGAGGGGCGAAAGCGGGGGGAGCAAACAGG
RNAcentral lists this ribosomal RNA (253 nucleotides) under uncultured bacterium. RNAcentral's name for it is "partial 16S ribosomal RNA". It matches the Rfam family "Bacterial small subunit ribosomal RNA", at positions 524 to 776 of the family's 1533-position model. The record is from RNAcentral.